RNAcentral lists this transfer RNA (74 nucleotides) under Crassvirales sp. Its description in RNAcentral is "tRNA-Arg". It matches the Rfam family "tRNA". Rfam says of the family: Transfer RNA (tRNA) molecules are approximately 80 nucleotides in length. Their secondary structure includes four short double-helical elements and three loops (D, anti-codon, and T loops). Lineage: Duplodnaviria; Heunggongvirae; Uroviricota; Caudoviricetes; Crassvirales. The record is from RNAcentral.
GCUCCCUUAGCUCAGUAGGAUAGAGCAAUGGAUUUCUAAUCCAUGGGUCACAGGUUCGAAUCCUGUAGGGAGUA